Non-coding RNA from Rana temporaria (common frog), 490 nucleotides. The record is from the annotation of a RefSeq genome assembly. NCBI's taxonomy places the organism in Eukaryota, Metazoa, Chordata, Amphibia, Anura, Ranidae.
GAAAAAAUAGAGAAAUAGCAUGAAAUAUAGAGGGAGGGGCUUAUAGUCUACAUUAGAACAAUUCAAAGAGCUUUAGAGCGUCAUUUCUGAGUUUGCAUUCAGAUGAAAUCCCGGAAUGGACACAAAGUCCAUAAGACUGAUUUUAGCGCUUUUCAUGUCCAACUUUCUCCCAAGUCUGUCUCAAGUGACCAUCACUCAGUCGGAAGAGUUCAUUAAAGUCCAAGUGGGGUCGUCCAUCAGUCUCGAAUGCGAACAAAGUGACACAUCUGGCACCUACAAUAUGUUCUGGUAUCAGCAGAAACAGGGCAAGGGGCUGGAGAUCAUGGCCACAUCGCUAGCUGCCGGAGACGCUACAGAGGAGGACAAGUUCAAGAAAUCAUGGAAAAUGGUGCGACAAAAUGCUACACAUGCCAUAUUAAAACGGAACGCAUCAACAUUUGAAGAUUCAGCCACAUAUUUCUGUGCCAGCAGUAUGCACAGCCACAAAUAG